AGGGUGAACCAGGACCUGACGGAUCCUCUGGGAUACCUGGUAUACCUGGGGAAGAUGGAGCGGUCGGACCUAAGGGUGAGAUUGGUUUGCCAGGACCAGUGAUGGGAAAGGAAUUCCUGGAAAAAGUCUUGUCUCCUUGUGACCUUCAUUGGGGAGCCUGGGUUCCAGGGGCCAAUUGGCCCUCGGGGGCCUCCAGGGGAUGGCUUUCCAGGAGAAAAGGGGGAUUGGUGGAGACCGUGGGAGGAAAGGAGACAAGGGAGAAUUUGGAGAGACAGGAUCUACAGGACCCAUGGGGAAAUCUGGUGAAAAGGGGGAACCUUGCUUGACAAGAGAGGAAGUCAUCAAAAUUAUCAGGGAAAUUUAUGCCCUGGAGAGUAAGCUGCUGAGCCGGAUCUGUGAGCACGACGAUGGAACACUCUUCAUCCCCAACUCCCUCGGGCCACCCGCCCCUGGACUCGUCGCCCCCUCACCUGUACCCAUACUGACCCCUGAGGUUUACAGAGAGGUCCCAGACAGGGGCGGCAUUAACCAACUUUGAGGACGAUUACAGAAGACCUAGGCCACUAAUAUUUGAGACUGAGAGCCCUCCCUCCUCAUGGCCCCAGCGUCCCCCGGCUUUGACGAGAAUGAAAUCGACACUGGCAAGGUGACGUAGUUCUUCAAGGUACCCCUGAACAAACUUCCAGACAUCAUGACAGUAGCAUCAGGGGGCCGAGGGGAGAAGCAGCAACCCCCUGUUAUCUCUAUGGUGGGACCCCAGACACCCACCAACUGGAUGUACGUCCCCAAGACCACCCAGCCUCCUCCUCCCCGGACACAGCCACCUCCACCCCCACUGACAGAAAUCUUUGUACCAGUGGUGGGGUGUAGACAGCCGUUGGAACCCUGAGCCAACGCCUGUGCUGUCUUUGUUAAACUGUGUGUCUUGGCACAUCCCUGGAGAGUAAGCUGCUGAGCCGGAUCUGUGAGCACGACGAUGGAACAUUCUUCAUCCCCAACUCCCUCGGGCCACCCGCCCCUGGACUCGUCGCCCCCUCACCUGUACCCAUACUGACCCCUGAGGUUUACAGAGAGGUCCCAGACAGGGGCGGCAUUAACCAACUUUGAGGACGAUUACAGAAGACCUAGGCCACUAAUAUUUGAGACUGAGAGCCCUCCCUCCUCAUGGCCCCAGCGUCCCCCGGCUUUGACGAGAAUGAAAUCGACACUGGCAAGGUGACGUAGUUCUUCAAGGUACCCCUGAACAAACUUCCAGACAUCAUGACAGUAGCAUCAGGGGGCCGAGGGGAGAAGCAGCAACCCCCUGUUAUAUCUAUGGUGGGACCCCAGACACCCACCAACUGGAUGUGCGUCCCCAAGACCACCCAGCUUCCUCCUCCCCGGACACAGCCACCUCCACCCCCACUGACAGAAAUCUUUGUACCAGUGGUGGGUUGCAGACAGCCGUUGGACCCUGGGCCAUGUCGUCAGUAUGUGGUCAGGUGGUACUACGACCCGGAAGCCAACGC
Molecule: long non-coding RNA, 1508 nt
Organism: Coregonus clupeaformis (lake whitefish)
Lineage: Eukaryota; Metazoa; Chordata; Actinopteri; Salmoniformes; Salmonidae
Exons: 11
Source: RefSeq, a predicted model, not a curated record